UGGAUAUAUAUAUAUAUAUAUAUAUAUAUAGAAAUAGAGAGAGUAUGCUAUUAGUAAUACAGAGGUCUUUGUAGUAUUAAGUUGUUUUCAAUAAUACGUCUUCCAAAUCGACGAUCGGCACCGGACUUAAUCUACAGUACUGUGGUUAGGAUGAUAGUGGUUUUCUAUACAGUUGAGUAGGUGGUGAAUAGUAUAAUCUAACGGAUUAAAAUGAUCACAGAGGUAGAUUUAAUGGUAGAAAAUUCGAUAACACCAAGCGCUUGCAUGAUACUAUCGAUAGUAUAGUAACCUAACUUUCUCUAUAUAUAUUGUAAUAUAAUAUUUUGAAUUAUUGAAUUUAAAAAUUAAAUAAC
This 353-nucleotide long non-coding RNA is filed under the name Ananas comosus (pineapple). RNAcentral's name for it is "long non-coding RNA (ACOM_LNC001652)". Lineage: Eukaryota; Viridiplantae; Streptophyta; Magnoliopsida; Poales; Bromeliaceae. The record is from RNAcentral.